Long non-coding RNA from Bombus pascuorum, 527 nucleotides. RefSeq lists it as uncharacterized. The record is from RefSeq and is a predicted model, not a curated record. The transcript is spliced from 3 exons. NCBI's taxonomy places the organism in Eukaryota, Metazoa, Arthropoda, Insecta, Hymenoptera, Apidae.
UAUAAGUACAUAUUAAUAGAUACAUACGAAUUUUGAUCUGUCAUUUUAUUUUUGAUCCAAAGAUUUCGAACAAAUGUUUCGAACAAAUAUUAUAAUAAUCGCACAGUGAUGAGACCAGAAAUGAUGGAAACAAGUUUAUCCUGUUCGUUGAGGAUGUACAAAUGAUCUCACUGGGAAGAGAUGCAUGAAGGUUUGUUUGCUACAAACUAAGUAUGUAAAAUUUUUAAAAAUUUUACAUAUACUUACACCAUCCAAAACUGUAUUUUCCUCGCCUAAUGGUCUGUUUAAAUCUGCAGUUGCAUAUCUUUGAAAUUCUGUAGAUAACAUUUUAUCAACAAGUUUUUCCAUUUCUGUCAAUUGAGAGCUUAAAUGUCUAAGCAAGACAGAAAAAAGCAAUGAGAUCUAAGGCUGCAACAUAAUCUGGCGUGGAUAACAACAGUUGUAUCAUUGGUUGACUUUGGUGUACUGUAGCCAUAAGUUUCAGCUUUUCUUGAACCAAUAAUCGAUUAGAUCUCGCUCGUUCCAAC